Diabrotica virgifera virgifera (western corn rootworm) is the source of this 72-nucleotide non-coding RNA. NCBI's taxonomy places the organism in Eukaryota, Metazoa, Arthropoda, Insecta, Coleoptera, Chrysomelidae. The record is from the annotation of a RefSeq genome assembly.
GCGAAUAUAGCCUAGUGGUAAAGCAUUCGACUGUAGAUCGAGAGGUCCUCGGUUCAAACCCGAGUAUUCUCU